RNAcentral lists this ribosomal RNA (1341 nucleotides) under uncultured bacterium. Its description in RNAcentral is "16S ribosomal RNA". It matches the Rfam family "Bacterial small subunit ribosomal RNA", at positions 28 to 1381 of the family's 1533-position model. The record is from RNAcentral.
GACGAACGCUGGCGGCGUGCUUAACACAUGCAAGUCGAACGGUAAGGCUCCAGCUUGCUGGGGUACACGAGUGGCGAACGGGUGAGUAACACGUGGGUGACCUGCCCUGCACUUCGGGAUAAGCCUGGGAAACUGGGUCUAAUACCGGAUAGGACCGCACCGUGAGGGUGUGGUGGAAAGUUUUUUCGGUGUGGGAUGGGCCCGCGGCCUAUCAGCUUGUUGGUGGGGUAAUGGCCUACCAAGGCGGCGACGGGUAGCCGGCCUGAGAGGGUGGACGGCCACAUUGGGACUGAGACACGGCCCAGACUCCUACGGGAGGCAGCAGUGGGGAAUAUUGCACAAUGGGCGGAAGCCUGAUGCAGCGACGCCGCGUGGGGGAUGACGGCCUUCGGGUUGUAAACUCCUUUCACCAUCGACGAAGGGUUUCUGACGGUAGAUGGAGAAGAAGCACCGGCUAACUACGUGCCAGCAGCCGCGGUAAUACGUAGGGUGCGAGCGUUGUCCGGAAUUACUGGGCGUAAAGAGCUCGUAGGUGGUUUGUCGCGUCGUCUGUGAAAUUCCGGGGCUUAACUCCGGGCGUGCAGGCGAUACGGGCAUAACUUGAGUACUGUAGGGGAGACUGGAAUUCCUGGUGUAGCGGUGAAAUGCGCAGAUAUCAGGAGGAACACCGGUGGCGAAGGCGGGUCUCUGGGCAGUAACUGACGCUGAGGAGCGAAAGCAUGGGGAGCGAACAGGAUUAGAUACCCUGGUAGUCCAUGCCGUAAACAGUGGGCGCUAGGUGUGGGUUUCCUUCCACGGGAUCCGUGCCGUAGCUAACGCAUUAAGCGCCCCGCCUGGGGAGUACGGCCGCAAGGCUAAAACUCAAAGGAAUUGACGGGGGCCCGCACAAGCGGCGGAGCAUGUGGAUUAAUUCGAUGCAACGCGAAGAACCUUACCUGGGCUUGACAUAUACAGGAUCGCGCCAGAGAUGGUGUUUCCCUUGUGGCUUGUAUACAGGUGGUGCAUGGUUGUCGUCAGCUCGUGUCGUGAGAUGUUGGGUUAAGUCCCGCAACGAGCGCAACCCUUGUCUUAUGUUGCCAGCACGUUGUGGUGGGGACUCGUAAGAAACUGCCGGGGUUAACUCGGAGGAAGGUGGGGAUGACGUCAAAUCAUCGUGCCCCUUAUGUCCAGGGCUUCACACAUGCUACAAUGGUCGGUACAGUGGGUUGCCAGUCCGUGAGGGCGAGCUAAUCCCGCAAAGCCGGUCUCAGUUCGGAUCGGGGUCUGCAACUCGACCCCGUGAAGUCGGAGUCGCUAGUAAUCGCAGAUCAGCAACGCUGCGGUGAAUACGUUCCCGGGCCU